RNAcentral lists this ribosomal RNA (216 nucleotides) under uncultured bacterium. Its description in RNAcentral is "partial 16S ribosomal RNA". It matches the Rfam family "Bacterial small subunit ribosomal RNA", at positions 1285 to 1500 of the family's 1533-position model. The record is from RNAcentral.
GUCCCAGUUCGGACUGUAGUCUGCAACCCGACUACACGAAGCUGGAAUCGCUAGUAAUCGCGAAUCAGCAUGUCGCGGUGAAUACGUUCCCGGGUCUUGUACACACCGCCCGUCACACCAUGGGAGUCGAUAACGCCCGAAGUCGGUGACCCAACCGCAAGGAGGGAGCCGCCGAAGGCGGGAUUGGUAACUGGGGUGAAGUCGUAACAAGGUAAC